RNAcentral lists this ribosomal RNA (254 nucleotides) under uncultured bacterium. RNAcentral's name for it is "partial 16S ribosomal RNA". It matches the Rfam family "Bacterial small subunit ribosomal RNA", at positions 524 to 777 of the family's 1533-position model. The record is from RNAcentral.
UACAGAGGUCCCAAGCGUUGUUCGGAUUCAUUGGGCGUAAAGGGUGCGUAGGUGGCGCUGUAAGUGGGGUGUGAAAUCCCGGGGCUUAACCCCGGGACUGCAUUCCAUACUGCGGUGCUUGAGGACUGGAGAGGAGACUGGAAUUUACGGUGUAGCAGUGAAAUGCGUAGAGAUCGUAAGGAAGACCAGUGGCGAAGGCGAAUCUCUGGACAGUUACUGACACUGAGGCACGAAGGCCAGGGGAGCAAACGGGG